GAUCCUGGCUCAGGAUGAACGCUAGCUACAGGCUUAACACAUGCAAGUCGAGGGGCAGCGGGAUUGAAGCUUGCUUCAAUUGCCGGCGACCGGCGCACGGGUGAGUAACGCGUAUCCAACCUUCCGUACACUCAGGGAUAGCCUUUCGAAAGAAAGAUUAAUACCUGGUGGUAUGAUGAGAUUGCAUGGUAUCAUCAUUAAAGAUUUAUCGGUGUACGAUGGGGAUGCGUUCCA
Molecule: ribosomal RNA, 234 nt
Filed under: uncultured bacterium
Lineage: Bacteria
Description: partial 16S ribosomal RNA
Rfam family: Bacterial small subunit ribosomal RNA
Source: RNAcentral